RNAcentral lists this ribosomal RNA (595 nucleotides) under uncultured bacterium. Its description in RNAcentral is "partial 16S ribosomal RNA". It matches the Rfam family "Bacterial small subunit ribosomal RNA", at positions 249 to 858 of the family's 1533-position model. The record is from RNAcentral.
UUGGUGAGGUAACGGCUCACCAUGGCGACGAUCAGGUAGCCGACCUGAGAGGAUGACCGGCCACAUUGGGACUGAGACACGGCCCAGACUCCUACGGGAGGCAGCAGUGGGGAAUAUUGCGCAAUGGACGAAAGUCUGACGCAGCGACGCCGCGUGAAGGAAGAAGGCCUUCGGGUCGUAAAGUUUUUUUUUUGGGGAGGAAUAAGGGGACGGUACCCAAGGAGAAAGCCCCGGCCAAUUACGUCCCAGCAGCCGCGGUAACACGUAGGGGCCAAGCGUUUUCCGGAAUUACUGGGGUUAAAGGGGGGUUAGGCGGCCGACCAAUUCAAGUGGAAAAAGCCUGGGUUUAACCGAGACAUUCCACAGGAAACUGCUUUGCUGGAGGGCAGGAGAGCGAAGGGGAAUUCUUAGGGAAGCGGGGAAAGGGGUGGUUUUUAGAAGGAACCCCAGGGGGAAAGGGGCCUUCCUGGCAUGUAACGGACGUUGAGGCGGAAAAGGGGGGGAACCAAACAGGAUUAGAUACCCGGGUAUUCCACCCGGUAAACGAGGGUUAUUGGGGGGGGGUGGUUCACCCUAUCCGUGCCGCAGCAAACGC